This 663-nucleotide ribosomal RNA is filed under the name Klebsiella aerogenes. Its description in RNAcentral is "partial 23S ribosomal RNA". It matches the Rfam family "Bacterial large subunit ribosomal RNA", at positions 2259 to 2916 of the family's 2925-position model. Lineage: Bacteria; Pseudomonadati; Pseudomonadota; Gammaproteobacteria; Enterobacterales; Enterobacteriaceae. The record is from RNAcentral.
UGGUGGGUAGUUUGACUGGGGCGGUCUCCUCCCAAAGAGUAACGGAGGAGCACGAAGGUUAGCUAAUCCUGGUCGGACAUCAGGAGGUUAGUGCAAUGGCAUAAGCUAGCUUGACUGCGAGCGUGACGGCGCGAGCAGGUGCGAAAGCAGGUCAUAGUGAUCCGGUGGUUCUGAAUGGAAGGGCCAUCGCUCAACGGAUAAAAGGUACUCCGGGGAUAACAGGCUGAUACCGCCCAAGAGUUCAUAUCGACGGCGGUGUUUGGCACCUCGAUGUCGGCUCAUCACAUCCUGGGGCUGAAGUAGGUCCCAAGGGUAUGGCUGUUCGCCAUUUAAAGUGGUACGCGAGCUGGGUUUAGAACGUCGUGAGACAGUUCGGUCCCUAUCUGCCGUGGGCGCUGGAGAAUUGAGGGGGGCUGCUCCUAGUACGAGAGGACCGGAGUGGACGCAUCACUGGUGUUCGGGUUGUCAUGCCAAUGGCAUUGCCCGGUAGCUAAAUGCGGAAGAGAUAAGUGCUGAAAGCAUCUAAGCACGAAACUUGCCCCGAGAUGAGUUCUCCCUGAGACUUUAAGUCUCCUGAAGGAACGUUAAAGACGAUGACGUUGAUAGGUCGGGUGUGUAAGCGUAGCGAUACGUUGAGCUAACCGAUACUAAUGAACCGUGAGG